UUGAAGAGUUUGAUCAUGGCUCAGAUUGAACGCUGGCGGCAGGCCUAACACAUGCAAGUCGAACGGUAACAGGAAGCAGCUUGCUGCUUUGCUGACGAGUGGCGGACGGGUGAGUAAUGUCUGGGAAACUGCCCGAUGGAGGGGGAUAACUACUGGAAACGGUAGCUAAUACCGCAUAACGUCGCAAGACCAAAGAGGGGGACCUUCGGGCCUCUUGCCAUCGGAUGUGCCCAGAUGGGAUUAGCUAGUAGGUGGGGUAAAGGCUCACCUAGGCGACGAUCCCUAGCUGGUCUGAGAGGAUGACCAGCCACACUGGAACUGAGACACGGUCCAGACUCCUACGGGAGGCAGCAGUGGGGAAUAUUGCACAAUGGGCGCAAGCCUGAUGCAGCCAUGCCGCGUGUAUGAAGAAGGCCUUCGGGUUGUAAAGUACUUUCAGCGGGGAGGAAGGGAGUAAAGUUAAUACCUUUGCUCAUUGACGUUACCCGCAGAAGAAGCACCGGCUAACUCCGUGCCAGCAGCCGCGGUAAUACGGAGGGUGCAAGCGUUAAUCGGAAUUACUGGGCGUAAAGCGCACGCAGGCGGUUUGUUAAGUCAGAUGUGAAAUCCCCGGGCUCAACCUGGGAACUGCAUCUGAUACUGGCAAGCUUGAGUCUCGUAGAGGGGGUAGAAUUCCAGGUGUAGCGGUGAAAUGCGUAGAGAUCUGGAGGAAUACCGGUGGCGAAGGCGGCCCCCUGGACGAAGACUGACGCUCAGGUGCGAAAGCGUGGGGAGCAAACAGGAUUAGAUACCCUGGUAGUCCACGCCGUAAACGAUGUCGACUUGGAGGUUGUGCCCUUGAGGCGUGGCUUCCGGAGCUAACGCGUUAAGUCGACCGCCUGGGGAGUACGGCCGCAAGGUUAAAACUCAAAUGAAUUGACGGGGGCCCGCACAAGCGGUGGAGCAUGUGGUUUAAUUCGAUGCAACGCGAAGAACCUUACCUGGUCUUGACAUCCACGGAAGUUUUCAGAGAUGAGAAUGUGCCUUCGGGAACCGUGAGACAGGUGCUGCAUGGCUGUCGUCAGCUCGUGUUGUGAAAUGUUGGGUUAAGUCCCGCAACGAGCGCAACCCUUAUCCUUUGUUGCCAGCGGUCCGGCCGGGAACUCAAAGGAGACUGCCAGUGAUAAACUGGAGGAAGGUGGGGAUGACGUCAAGUCAUCAUGGCCCUUACGACCAGGGCUACACACGUGCUACAAUGGCGCAUACAAAGAGAAGCGACCUCGCGAGAGCAAGCGGACCUCAUAAAGUGCGUCGUAGUCCGGAUUGGAGUCUGCAACUCGACUCCAUGAAGUCGGAAUCGCUAGUAAUCGUGGAUCAGAAUGCCACGGUGAAUACGUUCCCGGGCCUUGUACACACCGCCCGUCACACCAUGGGAGUGGGUUGCAAAAGAAGUAGGUAGCUUAACCUUCGGGAGGGCGCUUACCACUUUGUGAUUCAUGACUGGGGUGAAGUCGUAACAAGGUAACCGUAGGGGAACCUGCGGUUGGAUCACCUCCUU
This 1537-nucleotide ribosomal RNA is filed under the name Escherichia coli. RNAcentral's name for it is "bacterial SSU rRNA". It matches the Rfam family "Bacterial small subunit ribosomal RNA". The record is from RNAcentral. Lineage: Bacteria; Pseudomonadati; Pseudomonadota; Gammaproteobacteria; Enterobacterales; Enterobacteriaceae.